UGUACCUGCACAUACAGAUGUGUAUAUAUAUCCUUUUUUUUAGAAUUCCAACUCUGUGCUUUGCAUCCUAAUGCUGCUUUCCUUGCCCAGCCUCCUACAGCCUCUUCUCUCUCAUCUGGAGCCACUUUCUGUGCUGUGGGAAGGGUUGCUUGUUUAGGGAGGACCAUGCAAAUAAUCUCCUGAGUUUCUCCCUUUAUGGAUGGGUGAGGAAAAUUUGGCAAAGUGGCUGCAAGUGAAUCUUGUGAGCAUUCUGGAGGGAUGAGCUGAGAGCCCUGAGCCAGUCUCACUGUGCAAAAUCCAUUAGCCAUGAGCAGAGCUGCUUCUUGACUCGGCAUUCAGUACCUGUUACGGCCUGAAUUAGUCCCUAAUUUCUGUCCCUUACAGUUAAAAUUACUCAGACAUUUCUUUUUGAGACGGGAUAUUGCUUCUGACUAAAUACCCUAAAGCCAUGGCUCUACUGACUAUUAAAUUGUUCUCAGGAAUGCACUGAUCCUCUUGUCUCCGGGUCAGUGUAGGCUGGUGCUGUCAGAUGCAGGCUGCUGUGGGGCUGGAAGAGGUACUUUGCUUUGCUGUAGGCAAGCAAAUGCUGAGACACAUGUGAGGACUCGAUGGCUGCAGGUUUAAUAAGAUCAAUACUACCUCUGCAAAAGAUUAUAUGGUAUACUAGGCAGCAAAUAGAGCACUUCUGCUGGAUUUGGAAACCGUUUAUUGAGUCUAUUAGGGAUAGUGAGCUAGAAGGGUUGUAUCUGGAGUGAAUUGCACAGUUGCAGUAGUUGAGACUCCCACAUUAAGGGUUUUGCAGUCUAUUAAAUAAUGGAAUUAAAAUCAAAAUAAAUGAGGGAGUUUUAUCCAAGAAGUCCUACCUGCAGCCACAUCAUCAGCCAAAGAACAGAGGAGAAACAUGCUGCCCAGAAGACGAGUGCUUGCUCCUGUAUUCAUUGGCCUGCAUCGCCUCCCUGAAGCCUUGAAAGAUGUCAGGAAGAGGGGAGGGAUGUCUGUCAGGCUUCUGUUGGGACAAAGAGCCAGUCAAGGUGGAAGCUUGGAGAUCCUCCUCUUCCCACCCAGCAGGCAGGUCAGAAGUUGUCACGUGCUGUGGAACAUCCCACACUGUGUGCUCUACAGCCAAGGUUCGUCCUGCUGCCUAACGCAGCCCACAGUGGGCUGGCUUGAGUUAAGGAGCAGCUUUUGGGAAUUCUGUUGGUCUUGUUUGAGCUGCCUUUGUGCUGCCAUCACCUCCUGCAGUGUGCCCUGGAAUAAUUAGCUCUAAUCACACAUGAGCAAUAGCCUGCCUGGUCACCCUCUCUGCUCCUGGGGAGCACGGCAGGGCACCCGACUCUGUCAUUUCUCUGGUGCUCUGUCCAGUCUCAUUUGAAAUACCUUGCAGGAUGAAUUAUGGUGCUCUAAGGGAAUCUGCAAAAUAGGAUCACAGGCCAAUUGAAUCCAUCUGCAAAAUGCGGGAGGAUGAUGUAUCACCCUGUGGAUGGAUUCUGCUCACCCCCUAAUUUUUUUCUUUUUUAAAAAGAAUUAUUUUAAAGCUCUUGGUGAGAGUAAGAACAACAAAUGCUUGAGCAAUGAGGAGCUGGAUCAGGCCAUGCUGACUAAAGGUGGGUGAUGCAGAAGGGAAGUAGGGGAGUAAGGAGAGAUUCACACCAACUCACCACACUGGCCAGUCUGGUCCCUCUGCAAGCAGACUAAUGUAUGGGAGUGUUUCAUAGCAUAAAAUGUGCUGGGACAGACUGGAAUUACCAUCCAUGGGGAGGUUUUAGGGACAAAUAUCAACCUACCCAAGUCAAUCAAAGCAGCUUCUAGUAGGAGCUGUGCAGGUGCUGUGACCCACGUGGAUGUUGCAGGUAUCUCAGAGCACAAGGGCAGCUGGAUGCAGCCCUCAGGAUCUGAUUUAGCAAUUCCUGGCUGGCUGGCCUGGCCAUGCUCCCCUGGGAAUGUGGCCAAGGUCACCCGUCUUGGCCCUGAUGUGGUUGGACUGCCAAGGAAGAAGUUAACCCCCUUGCACUUUGGGUGGAUUGAGGUUGGGCUGGUGUUACUGAGCUUCCUCCUCCUCCGGCUGGGAUGCUCCAGCCAUGGCCUGAGGGGGAAGGGAAAUGAAUUAAACCCAUCUUCAGACACGUUUGUAUUGAUUCUGUCACUUUCUUGCUGCUUGCUGACAGGUGAUGGAUGGCUCAUAAUGCGACUGGCACAGUACAUUACGUUUCCCAUCCAGGGACUCCUAAAUCAUUUCAAAUUUUCAAAUUCCCUAAUCAAUAUUUUAUCAGUAGCAGAAGAAAGCGGAACAGACCCAUUUCUCAAGAGGUAGAAGAAUGAGCGUGUGUGGAUGCGUGCCUGCACAUACAUAGGCAUGGGAGUUUGGGUAUUUAUAAUCACAACUAAGGCACCGUUAGUAUAACAAUUAUAUCUGCAACCAGAAAAACAAAUACAGAAGUAGGAGCAGGAGUGAUGCUUACAUUUAAGUGACUUCAGGAUGAAGUAAAUUAGAGAUUUGGAUUUCUGAUAUGAACAUGGAGGAUUAAUGCCAUGUGGGUUUGCACUCAUUGCUCAGCCAGUUGUUCCAGCCUUAUGCAGGGUGCAGAGGGGUUGAGGCAGGUGCAAACAUGCCUCGUUUUUUGGGGAAGGAAAUUGGAUUUUCAACCACCUGUAAUACAGCAGGACUCGGCUCUCUCACAUGGCACUGAAGCAAUAAUGGGGAAAUAUCCCUAGCAAGCCUGUCUGGAGCUGGAUUACUGGGUGGUUGUUUGUCUGGCACUUUAACCAAGCAUGGUGCUGCUUUCUUGGGAUUGGGGUGGGCAGAGAAGCAUCCUGUUGCUGCCAUGGUGUGUUGGCUCCUGGGGCACUGGAAAACUAGAUGGGAAUGUGCCUGCAGUGAGACUUGAACUGGUCCUGAGCAAACAGCAUGUGCCUUUCUACUCCAAUGCUGGCACUAGGAUGUGAUUCAGGUGGGGCUGAGUGAGGACAGACAAGGAAGGACUCUGGGGCAUUUCAGAGGAGGUGCAGGUGGACUCUGUGAUGUUAGGAUACUGUGUGGAGUGGUUGGCCCCAAACUGAGACCCAGAUUCAGUGACUUUCCGUGUCUUCCACACUGGGCUUCCUUCACCAGUAGCUCCCAGUUCCUGCCUGGCAUCUGGCUUUGUGCUGGAAGAGCCCAGGGAGGAAUGGAGCUGGUUCCCCCUGUUGAAGGAGGGUGGUCUGUGCAAAGUGGAGGCAGCACAGGGCUUUGUUCUUUCCCCUCCAAAAGAUGAUCCUGGUGAGACAGCUGGAGCAUGCCUGUCUGCCCCAAAGAUGGCUGCUUUCCCCAAAUCCUUCCUGAGCUGGUGGUCCUUCCUUUGUGCUCCUUGCAUGCCCUGACCUCACCUGCUCAGCUAUCCUUCUCCAUCCAAUUACUCAUUCUCUUAGACUCAUGUUUUUUAUUCCCAGUCUGGAUGUCUUCCAAGUAAAAGAUUUAUUCUUAAGCUAUUUUUUCCCUCUCUGUGAAGAGAGCUUCCAAACAGCACAGAUGUGAAGCUAAACAUAACCUUCCUUGUUACUGUCACCUCUCCUCAGCGUUUGCCUGGCUGAUCUGGUGUUGCCUUUGCUUCCAAGCGUUGAUUCACAGCUCAGUUGUAGCUUGCUGCUGGAAUAUACAAGGUGGGCUUGCAGGAGAGGCACAAGGUGGAGCUCAAGGGUGGCACUUAAACCCAUGCUGACCCCCUGGCCCUUUCCCAGACCCUUAGCUCUUUGGGCUGGUGCAGUGGCAUGGGCUGAAUACCAGGAGAGUCAGACUCUCCUUCUAGAGGUAGUUUAAAAAACUGCUUUUUACUCACAGAAGAAACUUCUGUGCCUUUCCAUCCUGACCUCUCUGCAGUUUAGGGGAGACACACAAUGCUCUUUCCCCAAGGCAAGCGUGGCCUCACCACCAGCAGGGAGAUCUUAUGCUACAACACUUCUGUGCCAACAUUUUUUCUCUAUGUUCAAAGUUUUCUGUGGGCUGCGUUUCAGAGACUUGAUCCCUGCUGUGCCCAUGUGGAGGUGAAGUUUGCAGCUGUACCCUUUUCUCUGUGUUAUCACAUGCUCAGGGUUUGCCAGGGAUGGGGGAGGCUUCUGGUUUGUGCUGUCCACACUGCUUCCUCCCCUGGAGGCACUGUGUGUAACAGGAACCUGGUUGAACACUGCAAAAAAGAUGUGUGGAAAUAACUGAUUUUCUUCUUCUGAGAGCCUCUGCCUGGUCUACAGGAGCAGGAAUCCUUUUGAAGAGCUCCUGCAUACUUCAUGUCUACCUGGGGCAGGUUGCAAGGCUGUUUUCCUUUCUCCUUGGUUAAAGAUAAGAUUUAAUUGAACCAGGAAGAAGUCGGUGUUUGCAGUGUCAUUUACUGAUCCGAUGCUGUUUGGAGUUGGGUCUGAAAGUGUCUGGAAGCAGAAUUCCUUCAACCAUGCUGCUCUGGGCAGUGUGUCCUCCAUUCCUGGAGCACAACAGGAGAGAGGAAAGAAGCUACUGAGGUGCCUCCCAGAGAGACAAAGUGUUUGUCAUGUAGCUGUCACCAACCACUCUUCAAAGCAAACCUGGUCACCCUGACCGCCUGCUGCUUUCCCUCUUUUAAGCACAAUAGCAGGAAUUGCCUUUUCCCUCCUGCUUUGGUGUUAACCUCCUCUUGUUCUGGUGCUUUUUGAGGACACGUCAUGUGUUUCACUGUGAGCAGGACAAGAGUCAGACCUAGACCAUGUGUGAGUCCCUGACAAUGACUGCAUUUGAGUGAUAAACUCAGUCAUCCUGCACAAGAGGUGAAGCCCAUUGUUUGGGCACAGAUGGCCAUAAAUGCAGUUUCCCUGGAUGAGAGAUGUUCUGAAAAACUCUGUACCUGAGAGAGAAAUGGGCCCUUACCACCUGAAAAAGUUUGCUGUGUUGCAGUUCUCAUCUUUGGAGAUGCUGUGCCUGGGAAACAGCAGAGAAACUGGGAAACUCUCUGCAAGCAGUGUUAGGUUUACUUCAUACAGGAGGGGAUGGAGUGAACUGGCUCCCCAAAGACAGUGUUUGAACCCCAUUUGUCCUUAGGACUAGGAAUGCGUUCAACUCUAAAGCUCCAGGGUGCAGCUCUACCCUACAUCUUAAGAGGUCUUUUCCAACCUGAACAAUUCUGUGAUUCUGUAUCUUACAUGCUUUAAAAUAUACUUGGGUGUCCUGAAAGGAUCUCACAUUAGGAGCUGGGAUUUAUGCCCCUCAGGAUAAAGAGCCUGUGGCAAACAGACCUCAGCUUGGCUUGUCACCUCUCUCAGCUGGCAGUGCCAGGGUUUGCUGCCCCUUUUGUAGUGGGACAGGGCUGGUCAUGGUGGCCUUACAGCUGCUGUAAGGACAAGGAGUUGCUUGGGCAAGGAGGACGUGGGCUGAAGAUACUUUGAGACUUCAUGUCAGAGCUGUCACUUGCCAGCCUGACCAGAAUACCAUGCAGGAAAGUGAAAUUUGGGUAACUUAGCAAAAUAACACAAAGGCUCUGCGUGGUUUUCAAACAAGGUGCAGUGGCAUAAAGGGGAAAUACCCAGCUGGUUUUAAUAUCCAGCUUAAGGGAAGUCCUUUUGUUCAUUUAGUCUUGAUUUAAAGUGGUCUGAGGAGGUGUAAUCCUCUUGCCUCAUCUGGGUCUAAUCUAAGCUGGGUGCUGAUAAGCAAAGAGCUGUUUUUCCCUGACAGCCACUUCUGCCAAGCCAGAAAUAGCCUGCCCGAGUAAGCUCACCAUAGCAGCAUUUCUCAUUCAAAAGUUAAUAAGCUUUGAAAUUGGAUUUUAAUCAACUAAUCUUUGAUCCUAGGCACUAGAGCUCGAUUAGGAGCGUCCAGUAAACCAAGUUACAUCUCUCUUCCCUGCUUUUUCCCCCACCCAAUGUAGCAAAGAAAAGGUUGAGAAAUGUUUCAGCAUUUGAGGACCUGUGCAUUUUAGGGUUUGUGUUGUCUCUCUUCUUUUAAUCUGAUCCAUUCCAUGGAUGAAUGGAAAAACUGAUCUCUGAUAGACAGCUGCUCUUCCAAGGCUGUAAAUGUCUUUUAUCGGCUCCUUUUGGGAAAAGGGAUGGACUCCUUUUUAACAAAGGUCUGGAUUCAAUCAGAUGAGAUGGGAUGAGGGAUAGAAGAUCUGCUGGGGCCCUAACCAUAUCCCUCUUUUUUCCAGCAUCAAAAUAGUCCCAUAAAUUCUGCACCCCACAGAAACAUGAAAUAGCUGGGGUUGAAGGGACCUUUGGCAUUUUGCCAGGCUGCAGAGGAAAUAAUAGCUGGACUUCAGGGUUAUGUAGUUACAUUUCUGCUCAAGGGAUGGAUUCAGUUCAGACCUCUCCAACUCACUCCCCCUCCCCAUAAAUCUGAGCAAACACUCCUGUUUCAAUUUACCCUGCAAACAGUUUUCUCUUGCUCAGAUAGAGGCUGUUUUUAUUUUUUUAAAGCUGUAUUUAGAUUUGGAACAAGCUUCUGUUUCCUACAGAAAUACUGGCUUAGUGAGCUCCCCAAGGACCACAGAGUUCAUCCCUGUGCUUGUGGAAUGGUCAGAUCAAACGGGAGAGGAUUUGUUUGGGCAGCAGAGUGAGCACACAGAGGCACUGUUCACAUGCUGUACUCCUGUUAUCUUGAGUCAUCCCUGGCACUGCUAUGGUGUCCAGGGUUGGGUGGGCUCUCUGAGGGGCACCUCUUUCCCUAAGACCUCACAUCAGGAUGCUGGAGAGUGGCACAGAGGCCCUGGGGUGAUUUGGGUUUGAUGGGAUGGCUGGGUCAUGCUGGCUCUGAGUGGAGUCUCUGCUCUCUGGUACUUCUGCUCUCUCUUCCAGAGGAUGUUGUAUUUCCCUUGCCCUGGGCUAUGAACAUCUCCUGGACAUUUAUCUUCUUUCCUCUGAGGAAAGGCAGCCGAGGGAGUGUAAUGAUCCUUCUGAACACACUUUACAACCUAGAAUAUCUAUUCCUUAUAAAACUACUCUAAUGGCCCGCUUUUACCGUUUCCAGUGUUUUACAGGGGGUUUAAGCUCUGUGAUGGUACUUGCCAGGAAUAUGAACUGUGGUGUGGCAGCUUUUGGGGGCUGUCCAGCCUGUGCUGGGCUGACAGGUAGCUUGAAGGGAAGCUGGUCUAGUGGGCAGGAUUGGCUGAAAACUGUUCAGAAAACAGUGUGCUUAGGGUGAGUCAGCUUCCUCUGGAGGUGAUGCUUCCAGCCAGCCACGGCCACAUGAUAAAUGAAAAGUGACAUUAAUCUACUAACCCUCCGGCCAAUACAGUUAGCAGAGCUGAUUGUACCAAGGGAGGGAUGAAGUUAGCCUGGUUAGGAUUCUCUGAGGCCUCUGGAUUUCUGAGAUCUUGGAGGGUGCUCAUCCCCAAGCUGUGAGUGGAAUUCAGAAGCUCUCAGUGGGCUGAUCCUUAGGAGUCCAGAGCAGGUCUGAUGCCCCACAGAAUGGCAGGUGGUGUCCCAGAAGCUUUUUCCAGGCCACACUGAAAAUAGAGGAGGUCUUGCCUCGUGUAGCCCCAGCUGUGAAGAGAUGAUGGCCUUGUACAGGGAAAUCUGCAGAAUCUUUCAAGUUUUUCCUCAUGUUUUCCAUUCCCACUUGAUAUUCCUAGCUAGGGCUAGUUUUCUUCUUUCUGAGUUCAGAUAAAGAGCUGCCCCCCACAACAAACCUGAGUCCUUUCUUGGGUAACCACACACCAAACUGUUCUCUCUCUGGUGGCAUUUGGUGGUCAAUUAUUUUCUGAAGCUUUUUGGAGUGAAGCUGCCCAAUCCCAUAACAAAGCAGCAUUGCAGGCCUCAACUUGUCCUCCAGGCUCCAUGAAAUGUGUGAGCAAGCUGCCAGCAGCCAUGGUGGGUGUGCAGACCAGAUCCUGCUUGCUUUGGGAUGUGUGAAUGUUUUGACCUUCUUAGGGCUUCCCAUUGCAAUGUUUUAGGGCCUGAUUUCUGGCAGGGCUCUGCAUCUCCCAGCUUGUGUCCAGCUCUCUUGCCCAGCUGACCCCAAAUCUGAGCAUGAGAUCAGGUUUGGACACUUCUCCAUGUGCUGUGGUAUUUGUUUGUGUGGCUGAAGAGAACAGGUAUAGCUCAAAAUAUCUAGGAGAGAGUAACUCAUCCUAUUCCUUCUUCCUGAUCAUCUUUCCAAGGUGAUUCUUGUUGCUUCCAGCAAGCCACUGGCAGGACUAGAGUCUCUGGAGAUGUCCCUUCUGGGGAGCCACCCAAGUCAGAGCCAGCUGGUGAGCUCAACUUUCAGAUUUGAGAUUUUUUUCAAUGGUGUUUGAAUGGAAAGGCUGCAUGUCCAGUGAGUUGUGCUUAUAUUUGGUUUUUGUUGGGGUUUUUGGGAGGGAAAAAUGAAGGCUAAAUGAAUUAUGCUGUACAGGUAGAGGUGAGCAGCUGAUGGUCAUGGAAGUUCAAGGUCUUGGGGACCUGCCUUAGUUGAGAAUACAGGAGAACCAAUUUUGAGUCCAUGUUCAGCUUGAUUCAGAGCAAUGUUGAGCUCUUUCCUUCUCUUAGGCUCAUGGCCUAAGGAACUUCUCUUUUGAUCUGUGCUUAAACUCACCUAACAUGGAUCCAUCUCCUUGAAAAAGGUUGGAAAUAUUGAAAUAGCACUUGUAACUGUCUUUUUCAUAGUUGUGUUGUGUUGGGGCAGGUGUGGUUAUGACUGAGGGAGUUAGUAGGAGGAUGCUAUGGAAAUGCAACCCUGGGCAAGGAGGAGGAAGAGGAAUGGAAAUUUAUUGUAAAGCCAUUGCUCCAGUGGGAAGGGGGGUGUUCGCCUAGGAAUAUUUUCAAGGACUGCUGCUCAGGGGGCUGACAGAAGCCAGUCUGUGAUGAACCACUUGGAAGAUUUGAUGGUGCUCAGAAGUUUAGACUGGGGACCCACCAGUGACAUUAUUCUCUCCUUUUCAUGAGGGUUUGUCUGUAUCCUUAAGGAGGAGGACCAGAUUCUGGACUCGUGUAGGGACGGUAGUGCCCAGCUCUGCCCUGGAAGGCUGGGGCUGGCCUGGAUGAUCUACAGCAUUUACUUGUCUGCCCUUCUCCCUGUCCCAGCACAAAGUGACCUCCAGCUCAGCCCAGGAUCUGUGGCUCGUCCCUUGUGAAGGACACAAUGAAAUCUUGCCCAGGUGACAAUCUCCAGGGACUGCUUUGCAAAGACUUGCCAGAGAUGUGGCAACCACAGACUCACUUAAAUUCCAACAGCGAGCUAGCUGGUGCCAAAUCCCAUUUGUAUCACUGAGAAAAAUGGUAAAAUCAUUGUUAGGUGUUCACUAAAAUACUCUAAAUUUUAGAGAACACGAAGCAUGAGUCAGGCAUUGAAACCAGCAUCCAAAGGAGGGAGGGAGUGGCGAGAGGCAGCAGGAGUGCUUAUGAAAUAUUUUGUUUCAUUGGCAAGAGGACAAGAAAUAAUUGGGCCUUAAAUCAAGGAAAUGGGAGAAUAGGAACAGCAAAUCAAGGGAAAUGGUGGAAAAUUAGGUCUUAGAGUAGAGAAAUGUGUACACAUGAUCACCUGGUGGUUCUGGCAGAGAUAUAUGCCCAUAAAUCUUCUCUUUUAACCUCUUCCCUGUUGCUUUAUGGGGAAUAGUGUCAGGCUUGCUGGCCCCAUCCAUCUUUUCUAGAGACUACUGGUUUUGGUUUCAACUUGCUUGGUGCUGAGUGGCCUGAAUCUGCUUUAGAGCUGGAGAGGGAGCUCCCAGCCUGUCUGGACUCCUUGGGGCAGCCUGGAGACUGUGACCCCCAAAGAAAAUCCAUUCUGUAUGUGGGAUGGGUUUGGAUGGUUGAGGUGAGCCAUGGAGGGCUCUCUCCUAGAGCUGUAGUGUGUGGGUACACACUGAAAGAUUUUAAAACACAGAACUCACAGAUGUUCUAACCUAGAAGAGUCAGGUAACCUCUCUGGAGGCCCAGGCACCUCCCUGCUAUUCAGGCACAGGACAUCUCAGCGGGUUCUUCCAGCUGCAAAUUCUGCUAUUAAAAAAAAAAAAAAAAGAAAAAAAAAAUUAAAAUCCGCUUUACACCUCCCUUAAGGUCCCAGGCUCAUUUUUCUUAUAAAGAUAAUGAAAUGUAAAAAGAAAGCUUCCCCUGUUAGCUCUCUGCCAGCCGUCCCUCCCUUUGCACAGUGCUCAUUAACUCCCCUGACGCUCGAGUCAGACGCGGCCUCUGGUUAAAAACAGCAACCGCCCUCGAGCUGACAGCCAGACAAUAACACCAAUGGGAUCGGCUUCAUCAGGAGGUGUCAGCCCCUCUGUAUUUACAUAACUUGAAUUUUUGGAGUUGGGGGAGUGGGGGGAGGGAAGCAGAUUUAAAAAUAAAUAAUAUUGGAAAAAGAAGUGGAAAGAGGGAAGCUGCUGUUCAGGAGAGGCAGCUGGAGAAGCUGCCUCUCUGCAUGUCCCUGCUGAGGGAUCUUUUGGGCAGGUGGGAAUUUCUGCUCCAGGAUCACAGGCGAUGUGAGUUAUGUUGCUGCAUCAGUGGUUGGACUUGAUCUUGGAGGUCUUUUCCACCCUGUGGUUUUCCCCAGCACAGCCUUUCUCAUCCACUCUGGUACCUGGGGUGAGAGUAUUCAGCAAGAGCGAGGUGUUAAAUUAUUCUGUCAGAAACAAAAGUCUCUGCUGAACAUUGUUUUAAAAUAGCCAGCCUGGGCCACAUGGUUUGAGGAGUUCUAUUAGUCAGAUAAAAACAUUGUCUCCUGGUAUUUAGGCAGAACGGGGGUGUCCAGAAAUGUCUGAACACAAAAGCUGCUCCUGCAAAGCCUUUAAUCUGAUUUUGUUUGGCUGUUGGAACAUCCUGGUGUGAAUCUGAUGUUGGCCCACCUUUGGCUGCUCUAGGACAGCUGCCCAAGGAAGGCAAGCCCAAGCCCAGGCUGGAAGGACUGUUAGGGUGACAAUGCUGAUGCAAUUCCAGCUUGAAAUGGCUGCACACCCAGGGACAGGCUUCCCAGAGGGAAGGGGAGAGAGCCAUCACUCACUGCUUUGGUGUGGGAGGAAUUGUAUCCUAUUUGGGCAUGUGGGAUGAGGCUCCUGAGCUACCUGGAGCAAGCUCCUUCACCUGUGGCUGUCAACAUAGCCCAGUUUGGUGUUACAUGGUUUUGGGGUUCAGUGUUUAAUGCUAUUGUGGUUCCCCUUUCAAGGCCUGGACAUUGGGGUUUUUAUUUUGUUUUUUUUAGUUAUCAUGACUCCAAAAUGUUGCAGAGGAGUGAACAUUUGUGCCAGCAGCAGCUGAGGGUAUCAGCAGCUGUCUGGGGCCAUUAUGCAGAAGUUCAAGUCCUGGCCAGCGUGCUGAGUCCUAACAAUCCCUGGCUGAAAGCACGUCCGAGACAAAAACCUAUUCUUUAUUAGUUUAUGCUUUUUUGAAUGUGGGAGACGCUGUUUGGAAUGAGUGUCUGGGCACAGCAGCGUUGCUGUUCCUGCCUGCUUUUCCAUCACCUCGCUCUCCCUGCCUGUUUGUUUGCUAUUGUGGCUCUAUUAUUUUUUUCUCUCCCCCCCUUGUUUCAUCUCUGGCAUAAGAAGUUAUUCAGCCCCCGAGUGCGCGGGAGCCUAUUGUGCACAGAGAGCUGCAGCACAAAGGAUUCCAGAGACAAUCUUGUUCCCUCUCGUCAGCACAAGCUGCCCAGCCAGAGUCAGAAACACAUCUGCAAGUCUUAAAGGAGUUAUGCUCUGUUUGACUGCAGCUUAAAGCACAGGGAAUAGGGGGGGAGAGGCCUUCCAGGAGCCUGGUGGGUUUUAGCAGCCCACUCGUGGUCCUGUGGCACAGCUGCAGCCCAGCCCAUGCAGAUGUUAGAAUGCCCAUGUUUGAGAUGGAGAUCUACUUUGCAGCUGGUCUGAAGAUAAGCAGUGGACAGAUUCUCCCCUUGAGAACCUCUGGUUUGUGGGAGUGCCCCCCACCCCAGGCAGGGGUGCAAUUUUAGCACCAGAAUGGCUGCCUUGGUGGUGUGUGAAUGCUCUUUAGUCCUGAUGUUCAGCAGGGCUCAAAUGUGGGUGCAGACCUCCUUAACUGCUUUCCUGCAGUGGCAGCUCUGAAUGGCACUGUGCUGUAGGCAUGGAUCUGCUUCCUCAGCAGGAGCUUUGUGUUUUCCAGGGCUCCCAUUGCCCAGAGAAGUGCCUGUGCAGGGACACCAAAGGGUGUGUAGCCAGCCCUGGCACAUGGUGGCUGUCAGGGGCACUGAAGCACAAGAGAUGAGUUCAGGAGACCUGGGUUCUACAUCUCCCAGAGCUGUUCCAGGGCGCUGGAAUACAAAUCUUUCUGUAAAGACCCCAUGGCCAAGGUAAAGUUCCCAUCCUGCAUAAGGUGCCAAAGCCUGUGAGGAGAAGGAAGAACCAGAGAGAAUAAGAACUGGCGAUUCCGUGAGCCGGUGACUGCGGUGACCCGCAUCCCCAGGCAGCUGCCUUUCCGAGAAGCUCACCUCUAUAAAACACUCACUGCUGCUGAGAGAGCAAUUUGUCAGCCCCCUCGAAUGAAGAGUGCAAGAAAAGGGUGCCUUUAAUUAUGCCUGCUUGGGAGAGAGCUGAGAAUUUGCAGCCUUCGGAGCCACCCAAAGGCGCUGCCUGCACCUUGUGAUCUCCUCGGCUGAAUGAACGUGUCAGGGUGGGUGCUUCAAACCCAGCCCCAGUUCCCACACAGCCCUCCAGUGUGCCUGGGUACCUUAGAUCCUUCCUGCUCAGCCUCCCCAUCCCUGUCACAGAAUCCAGGGCCAGGCAGUCAGUUUGCUUGCUGGGAGAAGGAGAGGCAGAUGAGGAGGUGGCUCUUCCUCUUGUCAUGGGGACCCUUUUAUUUUGUUUCGAGAAGAAGGAACUCCUCACAAGUUAGAAGAGGUGGGAAGAGAAAGACAGUUGUAAGCUCAGCUGCAGAUGAGAGGUGCUUUGUUUGUGACUCCUGGGUGCUCUGCACUUGAUGCAUCUCCCACAGAUGCAGGGCAAACUCCUCUCCUCCUCUGGCCUGGCUUGCAAUGAUGGAUUAAGUGGGUCUUCUCCUUCUUGCUGCUCUGAUGUCCAUGUGAUCCAACUGCCUGUACCUCGUGCAGGAGUUUCCUGGAGCAGGAAAUAAGGAGUCCAUGCCCAUGUCCAAGCUUUGGAGACCCAGCCCUCCCUGCUCGUGCAGCUUUCUUGGUGUGUGACCCUGCUUCAUGCCUCUCAGACAUAACAGACACUUGGUAGCAGCGAGUGCUGGCUCGUCUGGAAAUAGAGUGAGAAGUGGUCUGAUGGGAGCAGACCACCUACUCAUCCUCAAAACUGAGCUGCUGCUGGUGGCAACAAGGUGUGUGCAAUCAGACAGUGGGGCUGACCUGUGAUCCUGGCGUUAAUGACUCCCCUUGGCAGACUGCUCUCUCUCAGGGGCUGCCUGUGGUGCUGCAUUAACAUCAGAUCUCUGUGUGAAGAAACAAAGAGGAUGCAGCAGGGACCAAAAUGAAAUUCUCCCCGGAGUUGUCCAGAAGGAUGAAUAAGUGCAAGAAAAUAUAAUUCCAUGGCUCUGGAGAAGGAGUAUCCACUUGUUUAGUAACCUGGCUGCAAGCCCACCAAACCAAAGCGUUGUGCUGACACAGAAAAAAGCAUCGCUCCAUCGAUGCCCAGCCUGAAUUGCUUCUUCCAUUGGACUCGGGGCACACCAACAGCCUCCUCCUGCCACCAGCUCCCACGAGGAGCCAGCUGCACACCUGCAACCAGGCGAGGAGGGAGCAGGAGCUGCCGAGCCACGAGGAAGCCACGAUGGCAGCUUCUGCAGCAUUUCCACCCCGCGGGGCUCUUGGCGAGCGAGUGCUCGUCUGCUUUGAAAGCUCUUAGUGCUCCUGCAGGUGAGAGCCAAUUUGUCUGCUUUCCUGCCCAGGUGCCAUCUGUUUGUAGGAUUGCCUGCGCGGUGGAUGAGCACGGCGGGGAUGGAGAAGGGAAAAAGGGCUGCUGGGGUGGGAGGGAUGAGCCGAAAACUUUCCUUGGGUAUCUCCUGCACUUCUGGCUGCCGUGGUUGCUUCUCCUCUGCGCCGCGGUGGGGAAAUCACAGCCUGUCAUUUGGUGUUCCCGGAGCGUGAUGGGGCGCUGAGGCACCGCUAAUAGCAAACCAUCAUUUUAAUGCUAAUUUCCUACCAUUAGCUCAGGCUGGGGGAGGCUCAGCCUGGGUGGAGGGAAGCCAUUAACAGAUGGAGAAAGGGGGGAUGUGUGGGGAUUUGUUUUGCACCCCCAGAAGGGGCUUCCAAAGGGCAGAUGACUAACUACCACUGGGAAAACUGGUAGGAGGCACUGGGGUCACUCUGUGGUGGAUGUGUGGGAGGGAGGAAGAGCAAUGCUUUCUUCCAAAUCCUCUUCCUGUAGGGAUUUCUUGAGUGCUUCAGGCUUUGGGUUGAAUUUGGUGUUGGCUGCUUGUGGCCAGCCCUCUGCCCUGUGACCCAAGGGAUGCUCAGAGCGCUGGCAGGGCUGCAGCAGUGGUGCCCUGGUGGCAUCGUUGUCCUUCCAACAAAGAAGACAAGCAGGGUUGGGUUUAGCUGCUGUCAUCUUGGGAGGGGCUCCUUAGUGCAGGAGCCUGGACAUCUGUGCUGGGUGAUGGGCUCAGAGCAGGGGAAUUUGAAGCUGUUCAUGAGAUACCCAAGAGCUAAAAAAAAGAAGCCUGCCCUUUCGCCAUGAGAACAAGGCUAGCUGUCCCAAGCUGGAGAGGUGGCAGGAGAAACCAGGGGCUCAGUUUGGUGCAUGAAGGAAACUCAACCAUUUCCCUGCCCUUUCCAGAGGUGGUAGUCCCAAUUCCAGCCUCUUGGCAGUCUCCUCUAGCCACGCUUGCCAAGUGGAGGAGCCUGGGUUGGUGUGGGUGCCUGGAGCUCUGGGGAGUUUGAAGAAGGAUGACUGGCUGCAGGACUGUAAGGCCUGUUUGGGCAGCAGUCAGAGAGGUUCCUCUACCGUUUCUAGACCAGCAUGGAAACAUUGGGACUAGAGGAAUGUGAGCUCAGAUGCUAUGUCUGUCUGGAAAGAAACUGGCCUACUAAUGAGGGACAGCACUGUUUGAAGUCAAGGGCCCAGUGGUGUCCUGUCUGUGGUGUGACACUUCUCCUGAAGACAGACCAGCCUGUGCUGACCUAGACCACCAGAUUCACCAUUUCAUAUGGAAGCCUAUGUAGAUUUCUUAAAAACUCACUUAAGGACUAUUUAAAAACUCUUUUGUCAUCUCGCAGAGAAGCAGGGGAAGGACAAAAGCAGCCACAAUAAACCAGGAGCUGGUUAAAUGACACAGGGAUUGAAAGCCAAGAAGGGACCAUCCUGCCAGGAGGACAAUAGCACAAGGCUGCUUUAGUGGAGCACCAGCUAUCAGAUCCAUCUCGGUGUGGAGCAUGACUCACUGUUUUUAAAGAAGCUAUUUCCAUCUGAGAAAAUGGCUCCUAUAUUUUAUAAAGGCUUUUUCUCCUGGUUGAGGAGAGGAAAGGAAAAGUGAAGGGCUACUUUUUCCUAGUUGAGGAGGAUCAAACUUUCCUUCAAGUAGCUGAGCAAGGAAAUCAGCGCCUUAAGUGCUCCCAAGAACAACACAAUCCAGUAGUUUUGGGGGGAGGAAAGAAGUAAGAAUGAAAUGGCAUUGCUGUUCCCAGUUCAGCACUCUGAAUAAUGAGCCUGCAAGCUGGAGGGAGAGCCCCCUCCCUCCCGAGAGAGGCACCUGACUGCAGGAGAUGGGCACAACAAGUGUCUCACGUGGGCCGGUGUCUGGAGCGGUGUCUCUCUAAUUUUCUACAUCACUGAGAGCACAGCACGGCACCAUCAGUCACUGUCAACCUCCCCUCAGAAAGCCACCUCCUACCUGUGCUGUGGUGUCCCCCUGGGCUCCUGUCUGUGCUGGGGACUGCAGGUGUCCCGGGCAGCAGCACUGUCCCUCCCAGGGGGUUCUCAUUCUCUGUGUUACAGCCUGCUUGGGCUUCUGCCUGGCUCCUUCCUCCACCCUGUGGGAACUCAACACAUCACUCUGAAUGUACAGAGUCGCCAAGAGAACCCUUGGGGGGCUCGGAGAUCCUGGAAUGUUGCCAAAAGUGUCUGGUGGCUUGACUUUGAUCCAUCUAGAGAUGAAACAUCUGUGUAUGAGGAAAUGGAAGGGUUUAGGGUGUGAAUAGUGUGUUUGCAAGGUGAAGUAUAAAUUUUAGAAUUUAGGUACAGGGGGGUCAUGAAGACAAGAUGGAGGAUUCAGGGCAUGGUCCUGGGUUCUUCUUUCUUUUUCAUGUCUUCCAUUUUCUGUGGUGAUGUUGGCACUUUUGGAUUGGUUCAUGGUGAAGGUACACUUGUCAGUAAGGGUGAAAAGUAUUGGGAAUUAAAGGUAAAUAUAUAGUAAUUUUCACCAUAAAAGACACAACCGUCCCGUGGGCGGGGGAGAGUGCACUUGAGUGCCCUGCUGAGCGGACCUUGGCGGGGCAGAGAGAAAAUAUUGUAGAUAAGAAUUAAUAAACAAGAUUGAAGACAGAAAACAUGAGAGUCCAGACUUGUCCUUCACGGUGCAGCCACCCAGAACCACCUUUUCCUGUAUCGGGGCAGAGACAAAUAACAGCGAACCCCAUACCACCCCUGGCACCUGCUCCUUGCCACCACUUCAUUCCCACAUGAAUCUUCCCCUCCUGGAGCCAGAAAAGGCCAAGUGCUCCCUUUAUCCCCACUGAGGAGAAGGUGUGGGGCUGCCUCACUGGGAUAAACUCACUGUGUGCUGCCUGGGGAGGCCUGAGGCUGGGCUUGGUGCUUGUGCUGCUCAUCUGAGGAUGGGGAGGCUGGCCUCUGCAGUUCCCAUGGAGCCAUCAGGACCAGCUUCUUUGCCCCAGCUCUGGGCAUGGAGCAGCUCUCAUGCUGUGCUUGUGAUGCAGUGCAGCAGCUCUUGGUCCCUCAUGUCUCUUUUUGUGAAGCCCCCUGCUCCUUCCUGGCCUGGCUGUGUUUGUACCAGACCCAGGGGCGCUGCUUUGGCAGGAGCAGUGGUGGUGGGUCUUCUCCUGGCCAGGCACACUCCUAGGCUGGAGAGGGACACAGAUCUGUGGCUGUUUCUUCUACUGCAGCACAGACAUGGCUGGUGGGUU
Long non-coding RNA from Passer domesticus (house sparrow), 16939 nucleotides. RefSeq lists it as uncharacterized. The transcript has 13 exons. The record is from RefSeq and is a predicted model, not a curated record. NCBI's taxonomy places the organism in Eukaryota, Metazoa, Chordata, Aves, Passeriformes, Passeridae.